Molecule: ribosomal RNA, 253 nt
Filed under: uncultured Pleomorphomonas sp.
Lineage: Bacteria; Pseudomonadati; Pseudomonadota; Alphaproteobacteria; Hyphomicrobiales; Pleomorphomonadaceae
Description: partial 16S ribosomal RNA
Rfam family: Bacterial small subunit ribosomal RNA
Source: RNAcentral
UACGAAGGGGGCUAGCGUUGUUCGGAAUUACUGGGCGUAAAGGGCGCGUAGGCGGAUUUUUAAGUCUGGUGUGAAAGAUCAGGGCUCAACCCUGGAACUGCCUUUGAUACUGGGUGUCUUGAGUACGAGAGAGGUGAGUGGAAUUCCGAGUGUAGAGGUGAAAUUCGUAGAUAUUCGGAAGAACACCAGUGGCGAAGGCGGCUCACUGGCUCGUAACUGACGCUGAGGUGCGAAAGCGUGGGGAGCAAACAGG